CAGCAGCCGCGGUAAUACGGAGGGGGCUAGCGUUGUUCGGAAUUACUGGGCGUAAAGCGCACGUAGGCGGCUUGGUAAGUUAGAGGUGAAAGCCCGGAGCUCAACUCCGGAAUUGCCUUUAAGACUGCCGAGCUAGCAGGUGAGAGAGGUAAGUGGAAUUCCGAGUGUAGAGGUGAAAUUCGUAGAUAUUCGGAAGAACACCAGUGGCGAAGGCGGCUUACUGGCUCAUACUGGACGCUGAGGUGCGAAAGCGUGGGGAGCAAACAGGAUUAGAUACCCGAGUAGUCCCUGUCUCUUAUAC
Molecule: ribosomal RNA, 301 nt
Filed under: uncultured bacterium
Lineage: Bacteria
Description: partial 16S ribosomal RNA
Rfam family: Bacterial small subunit ribosomal RNA
Source: RNAcentral